RNAcentral lists this transfer RNA (86 nucleotides) under Deltaproteobacteria bacterium. RNAcentral describes it as "tRNA-Leu". It matches the Rfam family "tRNA". From Rfam's summary of the family: Transfer RNA (tRNA) molecules are approximately 80 nucleotides in length. Their secondary structure includes four short double-helical elements and three loops (D, anti-codon, and T loops). Lineage: Bacteria; Pseudomonadati; Myxococcota; Myxococcia. The record is from RNAcentral.
GCCUGGGUGGUGGAAUUGGUAGACACAACGGACUUAAAAUCCGUUGGCAGUAGGCCGUGCGGGUUCGAGUCCCGCCCCAGGUACCA